Mirounga angustirostris (Northern elephant seal) is the source of this 2357-nucleotide long non-coding RNA. RefSeq lists it as uncharacterized. The transcript is spliced from 3 exons. The record is from RefSeq and is a predicted model, not a curated record. NCBI's taxonomy places the organism in Eukaryota, Metazoa, Chordata, Mammalia, Carnivora, Phocidae.
CUUCCUGGGGGAGAUGGGCCACACCUUUACCUGCGGGGCCGGGCACUGCACAUCUGGGCUGGCUCUGCCCACACCUGGCCCAGCGAGUUGCACCCAGAGCUCCAGGCCUCACUCGGCCCACGGUCAAGAGAUUCACUCCCUCCACCCCCCUUGCUGGGCACGUAGGCACACGGGAGCUUGGACCGGAGACACACACCUGCACGGAGGCAGAUCCAGCGAGGGUGAGAUGCCGCCGCCCCCAGCCGCCCUGAAGGGCGCUCCCAGACACAACUCUCUGGCCACCAGGAUUUGCUCGGCUGGAUCCCUGGCUGUGUGAGGCUCGGGCGGGGCCCCGGUUGAAGAGCAGGGAGGUGGCCUGUGUAAGCGUACAGGAUCCCCACAGAACGGUUUGGGGUACACAGGGCUUGGGAGCAGUGGCCUGAAGGCCCGUUCUCUCUGUCAUCCUUACAAACGAGGACACGACUCCCCCAUUGCAGUGACAGUGAUCCUCAGCUUCCCAUUUCCGUCGGCGUGCCUGGCAUGGUGCUCAGCAUGCUCUACGCAUGGGCUCACGCUUGCCUCACAACUGCCCAGAGGUGGGCGCCACUUACACAGAGGAGGACCCUGAGGCUCAGAGAAGUUAAGGAACCUGUCCAUGGUCACUCAGUCGGUCAGUGGCAGACCUGGGAUGGAACUGCGGGCUGUCCUGGAGAUGCGGUUCUUAGGCACUCCGCUGGACUAGCUCCGAGUGCAGAACAGUCUCCUCACCCUCACCCAGGGGGCCUCUGCUGGGACCCCUGCUCAGUGCUCCACUGCCUUCCUUCAGGAAAUCCACGAGCAUGGAACCUUAGCUGAUCUAGUCCCUGACUCUCCCUGGUACUUCCAUUUGGAGUCCAGAGCAAUGUGCUGAGGGCUGGGGCCCAGGGGGCAGGAGAGGCUCACCCAGAGCCGGCCAGCCUGGGGGCAGAGCGGGGACUGGAACCCCGGCCUCUCAACUCCCAGCACAACCUGUGUUGGAGGGAACGUUCAAGGCCAUUUCUGAGCCCAUCUGUGGCCGAGCCGGGCCUUCCACUGAUGGACUGUUUUCAUCCCUCCAUCCCUCCGUCGAUGGUGGGGGCUGCCACAAGCUGUCAGCUCGCCCGGGGUGCCAGACACAAGUCUCAUCAACAGCUUCCAGCUUCUCUGGGCUUGCCCAGGCCUCAGGCUGUGGAGCCCUCCCAGCUCCAGCCUCCGUCCUGCCCAACAGCUGCACGCGGCGGGACACCUGGCCUCCCCGCCAGGCCACCCGCCCUUCUGAGACAACAGACAGCCCCGUCUCCUGCAACCGGCCGGCCAGCCGACCCUGGCCAGAAGCCUAACUGCAGACCCCAAGGUCCUUGGCGGCCAGGCUGUGAUGCUUAGUUCCCUCCGAGCUGGCUCAGUCCCUGUCCCAGGGAUGGAGGUUGCUAAAAACAAGGCAAAUGACCCAGUCUUGGAAUGUGCCCAGAGAUCUCUUCUCCAUCACUGCCUCUCUGGUUUGGUAGGGGUCCCAGGAAGCCCCUAUUCUUCCCGUCUCGGGCCGCGCAGAGACCCUUGGCUCGGAGCCCGGGGUGGAGCAGGAGUGAGCUGGGUCAUCCAGAGAUCUGCUUCGUGGCAACCUGAACCAUCACUACUGCAGAGAACAGGGAGUCCCCUGAGCCAGGCCCUGCAAAGGAGAAGCAGACAGGUCACCAGUGGUCACCACCCCUCUCUCCUUAGGUGAGACACAGGGAGGUGGUGGGCUGUUGUCCUCUUCAAGGGCUGGAAGGAGUUUCUUCCCGCCCCAGGGAGAACAAGGCCGGCCAGCGCCCGGCCGCGGGCUCUCCGAGGCCGGGUGUCCUGGUCCCUUCCCUCCUUCUAUCCCUGGCUCCCGCCCCCCAAGCAGAAACAGGUCCCUGCACGCCUCCAGCCCAGCCCGCAGCGAGGCGCAGCGAGGCGCGGGGAGCUCGCUCCUGGACUUCUCCGGAUUAACCUGCUGUUACGACCCCGAGUCCUUCCCGGUAAUGGGCUUCCUCCGCGACCUGUCAGCCGAGCCUGGGCUGCGCCCCGAGCGGCGCACCCCACCCCGGCCGCCGCCCCGCGCUCGCACCCCUUGCACUCUCGGGCGCCCCAGGCCGCCUAUGGGUGCGGACGCCGCCGCCACCCCGGACGCCUCCGGGCUGGGAGCCGCACCCGGACAGGAGGGGUGCCCAGGGGGAGGCCCGGGCCGUGGCGGCGGCAGCGGAGAGGGCGAGCGAGCCUCGCGCCCCGCGGCCGAGACACCUGCCGGGCGCCCCCGCGCCCGCUGCCCCGCGCCGCCUGGCACCGGCCGCUGCCCCCGGGGCCUGCCCCGCCCCGCCCCGCCCGGCCCCGCCGGGUCC